RNAcentral lists this long non-coding RNA (3705 nucleotides) under Equus caballus (horse). Its description in RNAcentral is "lncRNA (ENSECAG00000044037.1)". The record is from RNAcentral. Lineage: Eukaryota; Metazoa; Chordata; Mammalia; Perissodactyla; Equidae.
UAAAUUUGAAAAGUUUUCUAAAUAUUGGGGGUGUUCCAAAUGCCAUUAAAUUACAAGUCUCUUUGGGUGCAAAGUACCUAACUUUUUCCCCUUUCUCCUCUUCCUGUUUCCAUCUGCCGGGUUACGUGCCUUCCCUCCCCACGGGAGCUCCACCUGUGGGUAGAGGACACCUUGGAAGUCUCCAGUCUCGCAGCUUUACAUGCCAUCUAAACCCUGACGACGUCCAGGUGUGUGUGUCCAGCUCGUCCUCUCCUUGAAUUCCAGACCUGGAGGUCCAGCUGCCUGAAUGGCACCUCCCAGUGGAUGUCCACACCGCCUCCCUGUCCCCUGCCAGGCCUGCUGCCCAGGCCCCUCUGCUGUGCUCACCUAGACCCGGACCUUGGAAUCCACUCUGCCCUUUCUCUCUCUCACAUCCCGUCUGUUGACAAAUCCUGCUGGAUGCACACAGUGGCGGCACCAGCCCGUUCUUGCUACCCCAUCACUGUGAAGCCACCUCUGUCCACUGCGUGGUCGUUACACUAGCCGUCUACGGUCUAGUCUCAACUGAGUGGUUUUACAAAUGGGAGUCCAUCACCUCCUCCCAGCGCCUUCCCAUUUCCUUCAGCAUGAAAACCAAAGAGCUCACGGUGGUCCACGCCCUCCCCUGCCUCGGUGUCCGGCUCCUCUCUGACCCUUCCCUCCCACUUGGCUCCAGGAUCAGUGAGCUUGGGCCUGUCCUCGGGGAGCCAGGUACACUCCCACGUCAGUCUCUGCUCUGAGGUUCUCUCUGCCCGCGACCUCUCCAGACACGCCUGCGGCUCACUCUCACCCUCCUUCAGGAUUGUCAUCCAACCCUCCCCGAUGAAGUAGCACCCACAUCCGUCUUGUCCUGCUGCCUGUCCUCAGGCUUGGGCACACCUGGCAGACCAGACGCGGAGCUAUACAGUCAUUGCUGCUCAUCGGCCGUCGCAGCACGUGGCUCCGAAGGGCAGGGCUGAGGGAUCCCCAGCAGCUACGACAGUCUGGCAGGCACAGGAGCCCAAUGCACUGUCUGCAGAAUAACUGAUGGAGUCAAGAAUAGAGGCGGCAGGGGAACGGAAACGAGGACACCGUGAACAAGCUAAGGCGUCAUCUUCCGUAGCAGAUCAAUCAGUAGAAACUGCCUUAAUUUGACAAAUAACAAAAAAAGAGUAGCGUCACAGAGGUGUAACACGAGCACAUGUGUUGGCGGGAUGCAAGGCAAGAGGUUUCCUUCCUCACUCCUAGGGGCUGGCAAAGCCACCACGGACCACCUUCUGGCCCUGCCUGGUGAGGUUCAGUACAGGCACACGCGUGAUGUGCACACAUAUGAUGUGCACAUGCAUGGUGUGUGUGUGCUGUGCACACACGUGAUCCAGCAAACCCACUCCUAGAGCCUCCCCCAGGUGCCUAAGGGACCCCUCAGAGGAGAUGCAUUUUGCAUGGGUUUUAGCAGCAGGGCGUUGCAGGCAACCUAGAAGCCCAUCACCAGGGGGUGAGGCAACGUGUGGUCGGGGCCAGUCGUCAGUGCCGACCGAGGUUUCCCACCUCCCAUUCCAGAGCUUUCUAACACGCCACGUCCUGAUCACUGCCUCAGUGUCCACACUUGACUUUAUGUGGCAAAUAUAGACUAAGCAUGUACUGUAUGCCGGGCAUCGUGCUGGGAGCCAGAGUGAUGAGCAAAAAGACUCGGUCCCUGUGGUCACAGGACUUACAACUUAGCAGAGAAGGCGACAGCACCAGCCAGUGGGAUCAAACCAUCUCCUGUCCACUUCCGGUCGGCAGCCCAGCCGAGAGCUGUUUUCUGGAGGGAGCCAGAGGCCCGUGCGCAUGUGAGAGCUCAGCCCAGACACAUCAAGAACAUUGUCAGUGCCAGCUUUGUGCCGGGAAGACUCUCCCUUAAGGCUCUCAUAUCUUGCUCCUGUUCUGAUGACAUGACCAGUCCCUCGAGGGGCAGGACGAGAGGCUGACAGCCACACGCAAACCCCAGCACGAGGCGGUCAGCCUGCGUGGUUCUCACACCUGCGUGCCCGCUUCCUUCAUCCCGAUUUCCCGUUGUCUGUGUUCCACUCGUGUCUUGCUGUGACAGGAGACAGGGAUUCUUUCUGAGAGAGAAGAUCUGAAUGACCUAUUCAGAGGGAAAUAAGCAGACGGCGACAUCCGGUCUUCGCUGAGCCAUCGCUUUCAUUUUAUUAAAGAUCACUUAAAGCCCCUGAAAGAACGGUGUUCAGGGAACAUCACAAAUUACCAGGAAAGACAGGUUCAUUUCAAUACAUCCAACUCUAUAGCCACAGAGAUUUGGAGAAUUUUGGACAGUUUCCACAUUUACCUUAGUAACAUUCAAGUACUCAGGUAUUGAUACUUAAAGAACAGAAAUCAAAGCAACCAAGAACACCCCCUCCCCCCCGCCCCAGCUAUGCUUCACUUUCCUAAUUUUGGAUACACUGUUUAGACCACGUUACAUAUUUUGCUUGACUCAGAUAGUUUGUUCUAUUUUGGGGCCUGUUCCCAUGGAAAGAAAAUUGGUGGAGGCAGGACCCCUUUAAAGCUGUCCUACUUACCUAGUGUUUUCCACGUCUCCCUUUUUCUGGUGUUACUUAAUAUCCUAUUAUUUUAAAAAAUUCAAGUUGGAGUUGGAACCAUUGUCACCAAUUUAGGUUGAGGCCCUUUGCACCUGUAGUCUCCAUAAAAAAAAAUCAAACACAAGUUUUACAAGCCGAGGGAAAAACAAGGCUUCACCCAGUGAAGACGUGUGGGAGGACUGCCGCUGAGCUGAAAGACGGCGCCCCGGAGUCUCGUCUGAAGGGAGAGCGCUGUCUGCGCAGCCAUCCCGCCUGCCUCACCUCUGGCGUCACAGCCUCUGCCAACUCCACUCGGGACGGUGCUGUGCCCUGCCCGCCCCAGGCCGCUCAGCCUUCACCUCCAUCUCCGUCAUCCUCCCCACCACCUGCGUAGCUUUCCGGACUGCAGAGUGGCUAGAGGGAAGCCCCAGGCCCGCGUCGUCCCGCGGCUCUGGCGGAAGCCUUCCACUCCCGUCCCUUCUCCGUGUGGGGACCGCAGCUACGCUCCGGAGUAAACUGAUUGGCCUCACGUGGCUUUACGAAACCUGGCCGGAAGCUGCAUGAAGAAUAUAAACCUUCUUAUCGUGACUAAGACCCCCCUGGACCCCGGUCCCCGAGGCCCCGCUGCCCUUGGCUCUGGGCUCCCUGACGGCUUCUCUGAGGGUGGCGGCCUCUUGGCCUCCGGGAUUUCCUUCCACCUGCAACAGUCUUCUCUCUCAAAAGGGAGCAUCGUUUUCUCAAACGGUCUACCAUGUCCACAAUUUACACCGGAUCUUUCCAUUGAACCCUCCAAGUGCCCUGUGCAUCUCCCUUAAACAAAUCCAGUGCUAAACUGUAUGUUUACACAAACUUUUCUGUCUUCCUAGACCUGCUGUGGGCUACACGGGACCACCGUGUCCCCAGUGCCCGACACUGAGUAGGAACUCUUAAAUUGUAUUUGUUGAAUAAACUGUGCAAGAAAUUGUCUUUUAUAUCCCAAUUCAAGUCGAAUAUGUGUCUUUUAGGGUUACAUGACUUCUUUGAGUAAAUUGGAUGAAUACUAGAAGGAGAAACCUGUCACUUUUUGCGCUGUCAUUUUUUUCCCUCUGCAAGUCAUUCCAUUUAACUUUUGCUGUGGCUUAAUGUUACCGUAAGCGUGGAAAUAAAU